This 1414-nucleotide ribosomal RNA is filed under the name Klebsiella pneumoniae. RNAcentral describes it as "bacterial SSU rRNA". It matches the Rfam family "Bacterial small subunit ribosomal RNA". The record is from RNAcentral. Lineage: Bacteria; Pseudomonadati; Pseudomonadota; Gammaproteobacteria; Enterobacterales; Enterobacteriaceae.
ACACAUGCAAGUCGAGCGGUAGCACAGAGAGCUUGCUCUCGGGUGACGAGCGGCGGACGGGUGAGUAAUGUCUGGGAAACUGCCUGAUGGAGGGGGAUAACUACUGGAAACGGUAGCUAAUACCGCAUAAUGUCGCAAGACCAAAGUGGGGGACCUUCGGGCCUCAUGCCAUCAGAUGUGCCCAGAUGGGAUUAGCUAGUAGGUGGGGUAACGGCUCACCUAGGCGACGAUCCCUAGCUGGUCUGAGAGGAUGACCAGCCACACUGGAACUGAGACACGGUCCAGACUCCUACGGGAGGCAGCAGUGGGGAAUAUUGCACAAUGGGCGCAAGCCUGAUGCAGCCAUGCCGCGUGUGUGAAGAAGGCCUUCGGGUUGUAAAGCACUUUCAGCGGGGAGGAAGGCGGUGAGGUUAAUAACCUUGUCGAUUGACGUUACCCGCAGAAGAAGCACCGGCUAACUCCGUGCCAGCAGCCGCGGUAAUACGGAGGGUGCAAGCGUUAAUCGGAAUUACUGGGCGUAAAGCGCACGCAGGCGGUCUGUCAAGUCGGAUGUGAAAUCCCCGGGCUCAACCUGGGAACUGCAUUCGAAACUGGCAGGCUAGAGUCUUGUAGAGGGGGGUAGAAUUCCAGGUGUAGCGGUGAAAUGCGUAGAGAUCUGGAGGAAUACCGGUGGCGAAGGCGGCCCCCUGGACAAAGACUGACGCUCAGGUGCGAAAGCGUGGGGAGCAAACAGGAUUAGAUACCCUGGUAGUCCACGCCGUAAACGAUGUCGAUUUGGAGGUUGUGCCCUUGAGGCGUGGCUUCCGGAGCUAACGCGUUAAAUCGACCGCCUGGGGAGUACGGCCGCAAGGUUAAAACUCAAAUGAAUUGACGGGGGCCCGCACAAGCGGUGGAGCAUGUGGUUUAAUUCGAUGCAACGCGAAGAACCUUACCUGGUCUUGACAUCCACAGAACUUUCCAGAGAUGGAUUGGUGCCUUCGGGAACUGUGAGACAGGUGCUGCAUGGCUGUCGUCAGCUCGUGUUGUGAAAUGUUGGGUUAAGUCCCGCAACGAGCGCAACCCUUAUCCUUUGUUGCCAGCGGUUCGGCCGGGAACUCAAAGGAGACUGCCAGUGAUAAACUGGAGGAAGGUGGGGAUGACGUCAAGUCAUCAUGGCCCUUACGACCAGGGCUACACACGUGCUACAAUGGCAUAUACAAAGAGAAGCGACCUCGCGAGAGCAAGCGGACCUCAUAAAGUAUGUCGUAGUCCGGAUUGGAGUCUGCAACUCGACUCCAUGAAGUCGGAAUCGCUAGUAAUCGUAGAUCAGAAUGCUACGGUGAAUACGUUCCCGGGCCUUGUACACACCGCCCGUCACACCAUGGGAGUGGGUUGCAAAAGAAGUAGGUAGCUUAACCUUCGGGAGGGCGCUACC